CCUACGGGCGGCAGCAGUGAGGAAUAUUGGUCAAUGGACGAGAGUCUGAACCAGCCAAGUAGCGUGAAGGAUGACUGCCCUAUGGGUUGUAAACUUCUUUUAUAUGGGAAUAAAAUGUUCCACGUGUGGGUUUUUGUAUGUACCUUAUGAAUAAGGAUCGGCUAACUCCGUGCCAGCAGCCGCGGUAAUACGGAGGAUCCGAGCGUUAUCCGGAUUUAUUGGGUUUAAAGGGAGCGUAGGUGGGUUGUUAAGUCAGUUGUGAAAGUUUGCGGCUCAACAGUAAAAUUGCAGUUGAAACUGGCAGUCUUGAGUACAGUAGAGGUGGGCGGAAUUCGUGGUGUAGCGGUGAAAUGCUUAGAUAUCACGAAGAACUCCGAUUGCGAAGGCAGCUCACUGAACUGCAACUGACACUGAGGCUCGAAAGUGUGGGUAUCAAACAGGAUUAGAUACCCCAGUAGUC
Molecule: ribosomal RNA, 460 nt
Filed under: uncultured bacterium
Lineage: Bacteria
Description: partial 16S ribosomal RNA
Rfam family: Bacterial small subunit ribosomal RNA
Source: RNAcentral